CUAGAUUAGUUUAACAUGUGAAAUGUCCGUAAAGUAUCAUCACAUGAUUGGUUUUAGGGCACAUUUCCAACACUUAAGUCAAUGGGCUUGACAUUCGAAGCCCAUUGGGCCUUGAAGCCCAAAACUAACCUGAGGUCUAAAACGAACUUAUUCGUUUGAUUAUUAAUUAACAAAUUAAUUAAUCCUAGCCAUAAAUAAGUAAACCAUUUAAUUAACCUUACUCAUCUCCAUUGUUUCUUCACUCUCUACCUUACACGGCAUACAAUCCAUUAGGUUUCUUUUAGCGAGGCAGCGGGCGAUUGUUACUCUUAACGAUCGAUUGUGAAUUGAAACAACAUUCUAAUUCUCCCUUUAAUGAAGAUUACCAAGGCUUCCACAAACCACGAGUGACACCUUGCAGUAUGUCAUGGCUACCUAAGAUAAUUUGAAGAGGUGGAGAACCUAUUCAGUUUAGGAUUACAAUGCAAUACGGUCUUUCUCUAAUACAAUACUCUUGACACCUAGCAGUAUGUCAUGUCUAUUGUCCAAGGUGUUUCUCUUACUUAUAUGAUUACCUCGAAUGUGAUUUGGAAAGACUUCCUAAAUCUCAUUCAUACAUUGGCCAGAGAUUCUUAAUCAUAUCAUAGAGUAUUCUCCCUCAAACGGUUUGAAGGUUAAAGAUCUCUUGUUGCGCAUUCACUUCCCUCCAUGGCUAAGUGGCUUAACCCCAACUAUGUCGUGGACACCCUCUGAUGGAGUGACUUGGACAUGGUCAAAGAUCAAGGACCUAACCACAAGACAACUAUGAUGCGUCACGUCAAAUGACUACUUUGCAUUAUCCCAACCAUCAGUUCUCAUGUGACAUGAGUAUGAGAACUCCUUGUUGAUCGUGUUCAGUGGACUCAUGAUAGGAGCAUAUUUAUGCGACUUAGUUUGUUUUUUUUCUUACAUUUCAUAGCUAAAUUCUACUUAUUAGAGUGUUUUAAGCUAUUUUCAUGUGUUUUCAGGUUCAAAUGACAAAGUUGAUAAGAAAGUGCAAUUUGGAGCAUUUUCGAGCAGUUUUGGGCCAAGAAUGGAUAGCACAUGCAUAGAGCAAGGUGGAUGGAUGUUUUUGAAGUUCAAGAGGCUAGGAAUAUGCUGAAGAGAUGAAGGAAAUAAAAUCAAAACUUGGAAGAUAAGGAAUCAGCUAAAAGGAAGGAACAUUAUCUUAACCAACCUUAUCUUAUCCAACAUUAUCCAAACUAACCUUAUCUUAUCUUAUCAUAUCCUAAUCCUAUCCUACCUUAAUUCCAGCUGCAAGGGGGACUCCUUAUCACAUUAGAAUACCUAAUAUCUGAUUCUAGAAGCCCUGAAACAAUGCAAAUAACCUGAUCCCUUUUUCCCCUAGAAAUCUGACGAAUUUAAUCCCUUCUCUUCUAGAAGUUUGCCGUGCCCUAUCUUUGUCCUCCAAGGAUUGGUGCCAUGAACCCUACCCUAUAUAAACCUAUUUUGCCGCAUCUUUUGGGGGGAUUUUAGAGAGAGAUUUUAGAGAGAGGGUUUUAAAGAGAAAUUUAGAGAAGCAAAAUUAAAAGUGUGUCGUGUUAGUUUAGUUAAAAUUCAUUCAAACCAGUCCCCAUUUAGUAUUUUGAAUCUUUUUAGUUUAAUUUUCGUCCAAAUCACCCUCUAGUUCUUAUUUUGAGUCAAUUUAACUUAGUUUUAUGUUAUUUGAGUCAGUUUAGCUUGUUUUGAGUUGUUUGAGUCUAGUUUUCAGUUUUAAGUUUAAUUUGUGUUGAUUAGCAUCCCUAACUAAUCCCCGGCCUACAACAAUCCCAACUUACGCGUACUACGACUAUCUUAAUAGGUUUAAUUUGUGUGUUAGUUUUUACCACAUCAAUUUUUGGCGCAAUUGCAGGGGAUUAGUAAAAUUGCUAAUCGCUUUAUUUUUUUUUCUUAUGAUAUUUGAUUUAGUUUUAUAUCUUUGAUUUCAGGUACUAUAGAAGCAAGACAUGGCAAUUGCUAAUAUUCUAGCUCAAAUGGUGAAUCUUACUUCUCUUUUGUCGCGGUAUAUCGAAAGGACUGCAAUGCAAAGUGUGGCUACAUUUGGUGUGUCCUAUAGGCAAGGAUAUCAAACUAAUCAACAUCCUCAAUUAAUUGAGAAUGGAGGUUGGGAUGGUGCCAAUGCUUGGCGUUAUCAAGGCCAUAAUCAAUCAAGGAACGACUUGUUUUCCAACAUGUACAACCCUGGUGGGAGAGAUCAUUCAUAUUUUAUGUGGAGGGAACCUCAACAAGUUCAAUAAGAAGGAUAUUGGCAGCAACCUGAGGAGUCCUAUUCAAGACCUAUGCAGCCACCACAAUCUUCCCCACAACAAUCCCAACCAAAUUCAAGUUCGUUAAUGGAUAACGAAAAAAUUCUUUAAGUACUAACUUCAUUAAUGCAGGGCCUACAAAAUCAAGCCAAGGAGAUGGGCGAAUUAAAAAAUCAACUUGGAGAGAUCGCAGAAUUCAUGAGGCUAAUUCAAGAACAAAGUGAACUCUCUAACUCAACUACUGUAAAUUCAACGGGAGGUUUUGAAACUGCUAAUGCUAUCACUUUGAGAAGUGGCAAGGAGAUUGGAACAAAUUAAAA
RNAcentral lists this long non-coding RNA (2584 nucleotides) under Malus domestica (apple). Its description in RNAcentral is "long non-coding RNA (MDOM_LNC000216)". The record is from RNAcentral. Lineage: Eukaryota; Viridiplantae; Streptophyta; Magnoliopsida; Rosales; Rosaceae.